This is a small nuclear RNA of Ochotona curzoniae (black-lipped pika), 106 nucleotides long. NCBI's taxonomy places the organism in Eukaryota, Metazoa, Chordata, Mammalia, Lagomorpha, Ochotonidae. The record is from RefSeq and is a predicted model, not a curated record.
GUGCUCGCUUUGGAGCACAUAUACUAAAAUUGGAAUAAUACAGAGAAGAUUAGCAUGGCCCCUGUGCAAGAAUGAUAUGCAAAAAGCAGGAAUGGAAUAAUAUUGU